CUAAACUACAUACAAUUUGGCGCCAAACUGAUUAUCAUUAAUAAUUCUGGUAAUAUUUAAAAUUGCAUGCAAUUUUUGCAUGCGAUAAAUGGAGAAAAAAAAAGCAGGAAAGGGAGAAAUUAGAGAAAUGUAAAAUUAGAGAUAACUUAAUAGAAAGAUAAUAAUUGUGAAAAAUAAUAUUAGCCCCAGAGAAUUAGGGAUGGUUUUCCGUCUUUGUUAAUUCCAGCUGUGAAUAUCCAAGGUUGCCUUGGAUGCCAAAUAGCUGAGCUAAUAAAAGAAAGCUCUCCUUUAAUUACCUUUAGAGGGACAAAAACGGGAUCACUCAUUAGAUCUGUGGGCAUUCUGCAAUGGAAAACAUUAAUAGUGCCAUUUUUACUAGCAGAGAAAACCAUAGAUUUUCCUUGGUGGAAUUGUACUUUUUUGAUAGCUGAUUCACUAUAUCUUAAAAGUUUAUAAGGAGUAUUUCCAAGAUCCAGAUCAAACCAGGCAAUUCUUCCAUUGGAUUGUCCGACAAAGAUAUGUUUCCCUGAAGAAUCUAAAGAAAUGGUUGUUGGAUCUUCAAUACCAAUAAGUUUUUUGACCAAAGCUUUACCAGUAUUUUGGUUACCAAGCUUCUUAUUACCUGUUUUACUAGAUGUUAGGUCAACAAUCCUAAUACAUGUUUGAGUAGCAACAAUAAGCCAUGGGUUAGAUGAGUGAAACUGAACAGAUUUAACCAAUCCACUAAGUUUUUUAAAUGCAGUAAUUGAUGAGCAUCUAUUGAUAGAAUGAAUAACAACUCUUUGUGAAGGUGAAAUAGCUCUUGGAGAUACUGCAGCUAAAUACCCUCCUUUACUAUGCCAGGAUAAAUGUCUAAUAGUAGAUUGAUGUUUAAUUACAACAGCUGAGCUUAAUUCUUUAUUUAAUUCAGAAUUAGAAUCCAAAUUAAUGCUAUUCCAUGAAAGUAACUCCAAUUUACUGGAUUCUUUAUUAUAAGUAUGGAGAUCCUCAAAUAAUUCCAAAGAAUGUU
Molecule: non-coding RNA, 1009 nt
Filed under: Cryptosporidium parvum
Lineage: Eukaryota; Apicomplexa; Conoidasida; Eucoccidiorida; Cryptosporidiidae
Source: RNAcentral